Molecule: long non-coding RNA, 3860 nt
Organism: Prionailurus viverrinus (fishing cat)
Lineage: Eukaryota; Metazoa; Chordata; Mammalia; Carnivora; Felidae
Exons: 3
Source: RefSeq, a predicted model, not a curated record
UCCUCCCUCCGACCAGGGUUCUUGCUCUUCACGUUCCACCCACGCCCUGCUACCCCCGGGGCCGCCGCCUCCGCCCCUGGCCCUGAUAUUGGACUGACCCCAUUGCUCUCCCAGAACCACCUCCGAGCCAUUCUCAUCCUCCUGCAGUGAGGCCCUGCCGUCGCCAGGCCUUCCAUUCGCGGUCACCUUGUGGGCGAGGCCCCUGGGCCCCGGGCUGGGGGAGGGGACCACCCCGUUGUGUGACACCUCGUGCUGUUCUGUUCCCAAACCUGUUCCCCCGGCCGUACCUGCCAGAGUGUGCCUACAUUCCCGAUAUCCCACUGGAAAGUGAGCUGCUAGGACGUAGACGGCAUCCGUUCCGUCGCCGAGUGCCGAGUGGGCGGCGACUUGAGGGAAGAAAGCCCGGGAGGGAGACGCCGGGCGACCGCGAAGGGAGAGGUCAAAAUGCCCUGGCUGCUGUUUUCCCUGUUCCCGUGGCCCACUGGAAAAAGAAGCUGAAAUACAGGAUGUAGGUUGUCUAAUGGACCUGGAACGACGGAGGAAGCUGGACUUAGGAUCCAUUUCUGCCUGUCUCCAAAGCCCUGCCUAUACCAAACAUCAGGCCACAGCCCUGUCUCCGUGCUGACUGCCUUUCUGCACUUCCUGCCAGCCACCCUCAUGUCUGGGCUUCUGGGUUUGUGUUCUUUGUCUGGGGCUGUUGAUGGACCACCAGGAGGUCCCUGGGUAUCCUGUCAGUGUUUCCCAGCCACUAGAGGAUGACUUGGGAUGGCAUCCCAGGUUCUGAUACGUACUUAGAAAAUUCUGCACAGGCAGCAGCAGGUAGACACCGAUGUUGAAAUGAAUUGUUUCUAAGCUGACGGCCAAGAAGGAAUUCUUGAAAAGGUUUUGGUGCAAAAAAAAAAAAAAGGUGGUUUUGUUAAAGCAUGGGAACAGGACCUGUAGGCAGAAAGCACUGCACUGAGAUUAUGAAGACUGACUACUAGAAGGUUUUCCAUCCUGUAGAGGGGAGGGUGACCUUAAGGCUCCAGGAAAUUGAGCCUAUAGGUUCCUGGAGGUCCAUUGUUAAACAUGGUGUUUUUCUUGUAAAUCAUUAAGACAGUUAGAAACUGGGCGCCUUGGUGGCUCAGUUGUUUGAGUGCCUGGCUCUUGAUUUUGGCUCAGGUCAUGAUGCCAGGGUCAUGGGAUUGAUCCCUGCCUUGGGGUGCUGGCUGAGCAUGGAGCCUGCUUAAGAUUCUCUCUCCCUCUGACCCUGUCCCCUGCUCACUCUCUCUUUCUUAAAAAACAAACAAACAAAAAAGACAGUUACAAACUCUAGUGGAAGUUUCAUACCCAACAUGACUGUAAAUGAUGUUAUCUGCAUUUCCUUUUGCUUUUGUUUUCCACAUCAACUAACUUUCUUUUCUCCCUGCCUCUGUUCUCAGGCAGUCACCAGUACCUGAGGAAUAGUCUACACAUCUCACCCUAACUGGGGGAUGUUUGUAGCGUGUCUGCUCAAGUGUAACUCCUCUCGCAUUCUGUACAACGCAGUUUCCCAGAGUCUAGAUUAGAAAAGUGAACACAGUGGGGCGCCUGGGUGGCUCAGUUGAUUAAGUGUCUAACUUCAGCCUAGGUCAUGAUCUUGCUGUUCCCGAGUUUGAGCCCCAUGUCCAGUUCUGUGCUGACAGCUCAGAGUCUGGAGCCUAUUUCAGAUUCUGUGUCUUCCUCUCUCUCUGCCCCUCCCCAACUCAUGUUCAGUUUCUCUCUCUCAAAAGUAAAUAAACAUUAAAAAAAUGAAUGCAGGUGCAACAGAAAUUAGCAUUAAGCUUUUUACCCCCCUCUUUUUUUUUUUUGUUUUUUGUUUUUUGCUUCAGCUAUACAGUUUCUUGCAAGGUAAGAAAGAAAUGCAAAGCCGUGUCAGGACAUAGGUUGUCAUGUGUUUUUGUCUUGAGCAAUGUAAAGUUAAAUUGCUUACCUAAGAUAUUUUACAUGAGGGAAAGUUACACAUAGAAUAUCAGCCAUCAUGUUAAAUAAAAUAUGAGAUAGGACUAAAUAACAUUUUACAGAGACCUGGUUUACUCUUUAGAAGAAAAACACACUUCUAUAAUGUAGAGAAUAAUGACAUGCAGGAGGUUUUCCUAGCUGUUCACCUUUUACCUUGCACUGAACCUGUAUUACAUCAUUUUGCUUUAAAAAAAUGGAAAUGGACUAGGUUAGGUAAUUAUUAAUUGGCAACAUGAUACUGAUAUAAAACUGCUUUUGGCCAGAGAUACGAUAAUGGUCAAUUUUGGCAACCUAGAUAAAGGGAGAAGUUAUUAUGUCCCCUUCCCAAAAUCAUUGUGCCAAUCUGUGUUCAGCUCACGAUCUCAAGUAUUUAAAACUUCCGUUUCUAUAAAUAUAAAUAGAAUAACCUUUUAAAAUAGGGUACAAAGUAUAAAUCCAUCUUUUUCUAAUUCAGCAAGCACAUGGGAUAUUCUCACUUCUUUUCAGAAAACUACCUGUAGACACACAGAUAGACACGGGGCACCAAGUUUGAAUGCUACCGGAACAAUUUCCUCACAAAUUAACAUUUUACCAAAUACUAAUAUACAUAAUGUCAAAAGAGGAAGUGCACACUGCUGAAAUCAAAACCGUUUUUAAAACGCAAAUUAUCAGUGUGAUACAUUAUUUUGAACAAAGGAGAAACUGGCAAUAUAUGAAGUUGUGUGCUGUUAGAAGGCCUGUCCCCCUGCUUAAAACAAAUGAGAGAAAGUGACUUUGGAAGCCUGUUAGAUGUAUGUGAAACUUUAAAAGAACUUAGAAAUACACUUUCUGAAUUUGGAAAAAAGGUAAGGUACUGGAAUACUUCCGUUUGGGGUAUAAAUAAAAUUUUGGAAUUUCAAAUAUGUUAGUACAUCUGUUUUUUUCAGCUACUUUAUAGAGUUAUAAGGAAAUAAAACAUUAAAAGCCAGUGGAAGCAUGUACGUAGGGGCCCCAUUUCCCCUUGGUGUGCUAAAAAAACUGCAUUCAACCCUGUCAAUUUGAAGGUCUAAUUGGCUUUGUUAAACGGUUUGUGGGUGGCGGCACAUCGCAUCAGGCAAGGAGAGGGGGCUUCUCUGAGCGAAACAGGAAAAGGUUUUUAAAGGCCAAAGGAGGGGAUUAAAAAGAAAAAGUGUACUAGCAAGGAAUGCGUGUUCAGGCAAAGUUGCCUCUGGGUGGAGGCUGGUGUCCAUCUGGACCUGCUCCGACUGCCCGGGAAGUUCCACUUUGGCCUCGCAGACUCCCGCGGUGGCUGUCCUUUGAGCGCCCGCGCCGAGUCCCCCUAAAGCGGCACUGCGAAGGCGGAGAGUGGCCCACGCGGGGACACUCAGGAGCGAGGCUCUGCGUUCCCUGCCUGAGAGGAGCCUCCAGGAGGCGGGGCGCAGCUCCUCCCCAGCCCAUAGCCGUCAGUGCGCCUGUCCCCAGUGGUCGCUCUCCAGGGUCCCCCAGCUGGCGCAAAGUGCACGCGCCCCCUGCUGGCCGCAGGGAGCAGCGCAGGGGCUCAGAGCUUCCCGUUUAGUGUUUCCUGGCACCCCUCCUGGUCUUCGUGGGUGUGGAUGUUAAUGAAAUGCACCCGCCGCUCCUGGCUUUGACUGCAAUGCACUCAGAGACCAGGAAUCAAAGCAUAAAGUCAGCUUAUUAAGGCCAACUGCUUUCCCACCCACUAAUAAUUAACGGUUGGAAUUUGAACAUUCAAAAAUGCCAUUUUUAAUAGAUAGGCAUUUGGCAACCUUCAAAUUGAAGUUCCUUUGGCAUGAACCUAACAACGUAUGUAAAAAUCUGCAUUCAGAAACAUCAUAACCCUGCUGAAAGGUCGCAAAUAAAACGGAAAUGCGGAGAUGUUAGUUUUUCAUGAUCCACAGACU